CAGAAUUUUUUCUGAUCCGAAGCUGCGGACUGCCUAGCGAGUAACCGGGGCUCCGGUUUGAAAAGCAGGAGUAGAAACGGGGUGGUUUUUAGUCAGAAAGAGUCUG
This 106-nucleotide microRNA precursor is filed under the name Spodoptera frugiperda (fall armyworm). RNAcentral's name for it is "microRNA sfr-mir-10493 precursor". The record is from miRBase by way of RNAcentral. Lineage: Eukaryota; Metazoa; Arthropoda; Insecta; Lepidoptera; Noctuidae.